AUUGAACGCUGGCGGCAGGCCUAACACAUGCAAGUCGAACGGUAACAGGAAGAAGCUUGCUUCUUUGCUGACGAGUGGCGGACGGGUGAGUAAUGUCUGGGAAACUGCCUGAUGGAGGGGGAUAACUACUGGAAACGGUAGCUAAUACCGCAUAACGUCGCAAGACCAAAAAGGGGGACCUUCGGGCCUCUUGCCAUCGGAUGUGCCCAGAUGGGAUUAGCUAGUAGGUGGGGUAACGGCUCACCUAGGCGACGAUCCCUAGCUGGUCUGAGAGGAUGACCAGUCACACUGGAACUGAGACACGGUCCAGACUCCUACGGGAGGCAGCAGUGGGGAAUAUUGCACAAUGGGCGCAAGCCUGAUGCAGCCAUGCCGCGUGUAUGAAGAAGGCCUUCGGGUUGUAAAGUACUUUCAGCGGGGAGGAAGGGAGUAAAGUUAAUACCUUGGCUCAUUGACGUUACCCGCAGAAGAAGCACCGGCUAACUCCGUG
Molecule: ribosomal RNA, 490 nt
Filed under: uncultured bacterium
Lineage: Bacteria
Description: partial 16S ribosomal RNA
Rfam family: Bacterial small subunit ribosomal RNA
Source: RNAcentral